GCAGCUCUAAAUGGGAGGUAAAUUUCUUCUAAAGCUAAAUACCGGCCAGAGACCGAUAGCGCACAAGUAGAGUGAUCGAAAGAUGAAAAGCACUUUGGAAAGAGAGUUAAAAAGUACGUGAAAUUGUUGAAAGGGAAGCGCUUGCAACCAGACUUGCUCGCAGUUGCUCAACCCGCCUCCUGGUGGGUGUACUCUUCUGCGGUCAGGCCAGCAUCAGUUCGAGCGGUCGGAUAAAGGCGCCGGGAAUGUAGCUCCUCUCGGGGAGUGUUAUAGCCCGGCGUGGAAUGCGACCUGCUCGGACUGAGGAUCUCGCUUCGGCUAGGAUGCUGGCGUAAUGGUUGUAAGCGGCCCGUCUUGAAACACGGACCAAGGAGUCUAACAUCUAUGCGAGUGUUUGGGUGUCAAACCCAUGCGCGUAAUGAAAGUGAACGGAGGUGGGAACCCGCAAGGGCGCACCAUCGACCGAUCCUGAUGUCUUCGGAUGGAUUUGAGUAUGAGCAUAGCUGUUGGGACCCGAAAGAUGGUGAACUAUGCCUGAAUAGGGUGAAGUCAGAGGAAACUCUGAUGGAGGCUCGCAGCGGUUCUGACGUGCAAAUCGAUCGUCAAAUUUGGGUAUA
Molecule: ribosomal RNA, 617 nt
Filed under: Septorioides strobi
Lineage: Eukaryota; Fungi; Ascomycota; Dothideomycetes; Botryosphaeriales; Septorioideaceae
Description: eukaryotic LSU rRNA
Rfam family: Eukaryotic large subunit ribosomal RNA
Source: RNAcentral